Molecule: long non-coding RNA, 1750 nt
Organism: Tribolium castaneum (red flour beetle)
Lineage: Eukaryota; Metazoa; Arthropoda; Insecta; Coleoptera; Tenebrionidae
Exons: 2
Source: RefSeq, a predicted model, not a curated record
CAGGAAUCACAAACGGUGUAGUGAGCGUGCCAACGGGAGGAAAGACCGGCUCCGGGUGUACGCGAACCGCAAUCACCACAAACUCUGCAACACUGAGAAAAGGGAUAAUUGAAGAGGAAAAAUGUGAAGCUUGUCCGAUAUGAUUGCUGCAAAAUAAUGCAAGCAAAUUUAAGACUUGGAAGGCACCAGAAGCAGUUGCACAUGGAAAAUGAUAAACUUUUGUACAUCCUUCAAUUUUACACAAAAUACUCGCUCCAUAGUGAUUACAAAAUGAACACUUCCUGGAAGAACUUUGUAAAACGGCUGGGCCCACAUUUUCGAGCGCUGAAUUUUCUAAAUUAAAAAAAAUAACUCAUUUAUUUGAUAGUUUUUAGAGGUGUUUUUACCAUUUUUGGUAACACCGUGGGACCACUGAGCACAGCUCCUGUGAGUAUAAAAAUAUCCGCUUGAGUCGAACAAAGUUGAAACGUGGGGCUCUUCCGUAUAGCCGAUGAUGGUCAACUCAUCAACAUAUUCACUCGUCAACGAUGGAUGUCUACACUUGUUGAAACUUUUCUGUCUGCGACAAGUGACAGGUCCUCUCGGACUCUUAUCUCCCGUUUCUCUUUCAGGAGUUGGUAAGUUACUACUCCCACUAUCCCCUUGGUCCUGCGCCACCCUCUGUGGCGUGAACCCUUCCGGACACAACAACCGCAACAUCUCACCCUGCCCUAACUGACUCCUUUCGCCCAGAUUACAAAACGCGCACACUUUUCCCGGCCACUGUUCGGGAAAGUAUGGCAGUUCCUCAAAAACCGGCGCCGGCUUUUCUUUCUCGAAAAUCAGCGCCCCCGUCUCGGGGUCUAGCGACAUUUCAUCGCUCGGUGACGGCGCGAUGGAAUUGAAAUCGAAUUCAAACGGUUUGAAUUUACGCCGCGGGGCACAGCCCUUUAACUUCUUGAUUUUGGGCGGCCGUCUCUGCGCCGGCUUACCUGUCAACAGCCCCGUUAGUAGCGAAAGCGUCUCGGGGUCGUGGCGGUCACCUUCGCGCCGGGGACGGCCGCGCCCCCUUUUCACGCUCAGGGGCUUGCCCGAGAAGCCGAAAGGCAGCGGGAAGUCGUCGUUAGGGGGCGACGACGCGGCCGAGGUCGCCCCGGACGAGGGGAACUGAAAGGGCGAGGGCAGGGGAUCGUCCAGCUCGUCCUCCUCUUCGUCGAGGUCUGAGCCCUCGUCGAGGUCCAUCAAGUCGUCGGGGUCGAGGGCCUGGCCGAGUUCCUCCAUAUUCACAAACUGGAAAAGACAAGGGGGUUACUCCGAGGGGCACCCGGAUUUAGCGCCGAGGAAAUCACAAUGAACCCCACCGCCAUGUCAAUUGUGUACAUGGAAGCGAUGCCGCGGCCAAAACAAACACACGAGGAAGCGGCGCGCGGACGCACACGGGGGUUGCAGCCACGGGGAAUUUACAGAUUUUCAUUGAAUUUCACUUACAUUAAACUAAUUUUUACAUGUUAAAGUUGUGUACACGGAACAACACAAAAAAAUGUCACUAGCUAAAGGAAAGUGGGAGAGACCAUCUCUUCGGUACCGCGACGGAAAUUGCCGAACGUGUGGCACGAUUACAAAGGACGACACCAACACAACAAACAAAAAAUUAAAGUCACCAGCAAAUUCAAAUUUUUGCACCAGUUGUAACACGCUUAUCAAGUUCAAGUUUACUUUGUUUGUAUAAAUUCAACACAUAUAACAAAGAAUAUUAUUUUUUUAGCUGAUA